CGGGCCGGGUCUUGAAUCAAUACCCGAAUACACUGAUUCAACCGCCGCCAGAUCCCUUCCUUUUGUGGCUCGUUUCCACGGCAGGGCGACACGCAAGCACACACAGUACUAUAUAUAACAAAAAUAAUCCAAGCACUCAGAAACUCAGGAUUGAUUGACAGAUUUCUUGGUUUAGUUUAGGAUACGGAUUGAUUGACAGAUAUCUUGGUUUAGAUACGACGCUGUUUUCCUGCUCCCUCUCUCCAAAUUUGCAUCUCCAUCAACCACUCUCGGUUUCUUCAAAACUUCAUCUAGCUUCUGAUUCUCUGAAUCUCAAUUUUUGACUUCUUCCUCAUCAAUUUUCCUAGUCCAGAUGCAUAUAUGAUGUAUACACAAUAUUAUGCCUUUAAUUUUCAGUUUCAGGGAGUGCCCAGAUUCGUGAUUAAAUUCAGGAGUGGAGCAAUUGAAGGAAAGCCCUAUUUUUUUUCUUUGUUAUCUGGGGUAAUUUUUCUGGAAAUUUUUAGUCCAUUACUGAAG
This 516-nucleotide long non-coding RNA is filed under the name Olea europaea subsp. europaea. Lineage: Eukaryota; Viridiplantae; Streptophyta; Magnoliopsida; Lamiales; Oleaceae. The record is from RNAcentral.